This 714-nucleotide ribosomal RNA is filed under the name uncultured Archaeoglobus sp. Its description in RNAcentral is "bacterial SSU rRNA". It matches the Rfam family "Archaeal small subunit ribosomal RNA", at positions 102 to 816 of the family's 1478-position model. Lineage: Archaea; Methanobacteriati; Methanobacteriota; Archaeoglobi; Archaeoglobales; Archaeoglobaceae. The record is from RNAcentral.
GGACAACCUGCCCUCGGGAGGGGGAUAACCCCGGGAAACUGGGGCUAAACCCCCAUAGGGGAUGGAUACUGGAAUGUUCCAUCUCCGAAAGUCCGCAAGGAGCCCGAGGAUGGGUCUGCGGCGGAUUAGGUAGUUGGUGGGGUAACGGCCCACCAAGCCUAAGAUCCGUACGGGCCAUGGGAGUGGGAGCCCGGAGAUGGACCCUGAGACAAGGGUCCAGGCCCUACGGGGCGCAGCAGGCGCGAAACCUCCGCAAUGCGGGAAACCGCGACGGGGUCAGCCGGAGUGCCGAUGCUUGCAUCGGCUGUCGGGGAGCCUAAAAAGCUCUCCAAGCAAGGGCCGGGCAAGGCCGGUGGCAGCCGCCGCGGUAAUACCGGCGGCCCGAGUGGCGGUCACUAUUAUUGGGCUUAAAGCGUCCGUAGCCGGGUUGGUUAGUCUCCCGGGAAAUCUGGCCGCUCAACGGUCAGAAUUCCGGGAGAUACUGCCAGCCUAGGGACCGGGAGAGGCCGAGGGUAUUCCCGGAGUAGGGGUGAAAUCCUAUAAUCCCGGGAGGACCACCUGUGGCGAAGGCGCUCGGCUGGAACGGGUCCGACGGUGAGGGACGAAGGCCAGGGGAGCAAACCGGAUUAGAUACCCGGGUAGUCCUGGCUGUAAACGAUGCGGACUUUGUGUCGGACAAGCUAUGAGCUUGUCCGGUGCCGGAGGGAAACCGUU